RNAcentral lists this ribosomal RNA (730 nucleotides) under Mixta gaviniae. RNAcentral's name for it is "partial 16S ribosomal RNA". It matches the Rfam family "Bacterial small subunit ribosomal RNA", at positions 8 to 728 of the family's 1533-position model. The record is from RNAcentral. Lineage: Bacteria; Pseudomonadati; Pseudomonadota; Gammaproteobacteria; Enterobacterales; Erwiniaceae.
AGAGUUUGAUCCUGGCUCAGAUUGAACGCNGGCGGCAGGCCUAACACAUGCAAGUCGAACGGUAACAGAGAGCAGCNUGCUGCUCUGCUGACGAGUGGCGGACGGGUGAGUAAUGUCUGGGGAUCUGCCCGAUGGAGGGGGAUAACCACUGGAAACGGUGGAUAAUACCGCAUAACGUCGCAAGACCAAAUAAAAGGACGUUUGGGCCUCACACCAUCGGAUGAACCCAGAUGCGAUUAGUUAGUAGGUGGGGAAACGGUUCACAUAGGCGACGAUCCUUAGCUGGUUUGAGAGGAUGUCCAGCCACACUGGAAUUGAGACACGGUCCAGAUUCUUACGGGAGGCAGCAGUGGGGAUUAUUGCNCANUGGGCGCAAGCCNGANGCAGCCAUGCCGCGUGUAUGAAGAAGGCCUUCGGGUUGUAAAGUACUUUCAGCGGGGAGGAAGGGAUGGAGNNUAAUACGCUUCGUCAUNGACGUUACCCGCAGAAGAAGCACCGGCUAACUCCGUGCCAGCAGCCGCGGUAAUACGGAGGGNGCAAGCGUUAAUCGGAAUUACUGGGNGUAAAGCGCANGCAGGCGGUCUGUCAAGUCGGAUGUGAAAUCCCCGGGCUCAACCCGGGAACNGCAUUNGAAACNGGCAGGNUAGAGUGUNGAAGAGGGGGGUAGAAUUCCAGGUGUAGCGGUGAAAUGCGUAGAGAUUNGGAGGAACACCGGGGNGAAGGCGGCCCC